This 719-nucleotide ribosomal RNA is filed under the name uncultured Gammaproteobacteria bacterium. RNAcentral describes it as "bacterial SSU rRNA". It matches the Rfam family "Bacterial small subunit ribosomal RNA", at positions 57 to 767 of the family's 1533-position model. The record is from RNAcentral. Lineage: Bacteria; Pseudomonadati; Pseudomonadota; Gammaproteobacteria.
GCAAGUCGAACGGAAACGAUACUAGCUUGCUAGUAGGCGUCGAGUGGCGGACGGGUGAGUAACGCGUAGGAAUCUGCCUGAUAGUGGGGGAUAGCCCGAAGAAAUUCGGAUUAAUACCGCAUAAUCUAUUCGUAGUAAAGUGGGGGACUUUCGAGCCUCACGCUAUCAGAUGAGCCUGCGUAAGAUUAGCUUGUUGGUAGGGUAAAAGCCCACCAAGGCGACGAUCUUUAGCUGGUCUGAGAGGAUGAUCAGCCACAUCGGGACUGAGACACGGCCCGAACUCCUACGGGAGGCAGCAGUGGGGAAUAUUGGACAAUGGGGGCAACCCUGAUCCAGCAAUACCGCGUGUGUGAAGAAGGCCUGAGGGUUGUAAAGCACUUUCAAUUGUGAAGAAAAGUUAGCGGUUAAUAACCGUUAGCCUUGACGUUAACUUUAGAAGAAGCACCGGCUAACUCCGUGCCAGCAGCCGCGGUAAUACGGAGGGUGCAAGCGUUAAUCGGAAUUACUGGGCGUAAAGCGUGCGUAGGCGGUUUAUUAAGUCAGAUGUGAAAGCCCCGGGCUUAACCUGGGAACUGCAUUUGAAACUGGUCAACUAGAGUAUGGUAGAGGAAAGUGGAAUUUCUGGUGUAGCGGUGAAAUGCGUAGAUAUCAGAAGGAACAUCAAUGGCGAAGGCAGCUUUCUGGACCAAUACUGACGCUGAGGUACGAAAGCGUGGGUA